Molecule: ribosomal RNA, 253 nt
Filed under: uncultured bacterium
Lineage: Bacteria
Description: partial 16S ribosomal RNA
Rfam family: Bacterial small subunit ribosomal RNA
Source: RNAcentral
UACGGGGGGGGCAAGCGUUGUUCGGAAUUACUGGGCGUAAAGGGCGUACAGGCGGCCUUGUAAGUCAGCUGUGAAAUCCCCAGGCUCAACCUGGGAAUUGCAUCUGAAACUGCCGGGCUAGAGUUCAGGAGAGGAAAGCGGAACUCCCAGUGUAGCGGUGAAAUGCGUAGAUAUUGGGAGGAACACCGGUGGCGAAGGCGGCUUUCUGGACUGAAACUGACGCUGACGCGCGAAAGCCAGGGGAGCGAACGGG